AGGGAAACAGCCCAGACCACCAGCUAAGGUCCCCAAUGUCGUACUAAGUGGAAAAGGAUGUGGGGUUUCAUAAACAACCAGGAUGUUGGCUCAGAAGCAGCCACCAUUUAAAGAGUGCGUAAUAGCUCACUGGUCGAGAGACCCUGCGCCGAAGAUUCCCGGGGCUAAAGUACGAAACCGAAGCUGUGGCUGUAUACGUAAAGUAUACGGGGUAGGGGAGCGUUCCCAUAGGGUAGAAGUCGAACUGGAAGGUUCGGUGGACUUGUGGGAAGUGAGAAUGUUGGUAUGAGUAGCGAAAAGAAAGGUGAGAAUCCUUUCCACCGAAAGCACGAGGAUUCCUGAGCAACGAUCGUCGUCUCAGGGUAAGUCGGGACCUAAUCCGAGGCAGAGAGCGUAGGAGAUGGACAACUGGUUGAUAUUCCAGUACCGGUAGUAAUUGUUUGAGCAAUGGAGUGACACAGAAGGGCAGGCAAGCAUGCGAAUGGAAGAGCAUGUGUAAGCGUGUAGGGUGGUGCAUAGGCAAAUCCGUGCACUGAAAGCCUGAGGCGUGAUGCGGAGUGAGCAGAGAUGCGAGCGAAGUUGUUGACCCCACACUGUCGAGAAAAGCUUCUAGUGAGAGAGCUACCGCCCGUACCGUAAACCGACACAGGUGGAUGCGGGGAGAGAAUCCUAAGGUGCGCGGGAGAACCCUCGUUAAGGAACUCGGCAAAAUGUACCCGUAACUUCGGGAUAAGGGUAGCCACUGUUGUGAAGUCCCAUGCGGAUGGAGCAUAGAGUGGUCGCAGAGAAGAGGCCCAAGCGACUGUUUACCAUAAACACAGGUGCCUGCUAAAGCGAAAGCUGACGUAUAGGUGCUGACACCUGCCCAGUGCCGGAAGGUUAAGGAAGGAUGUUCGGAGUAAUCCAAAGCAUUCGACUGAAGCCCCGGUGAACGGCGGCCGUAACUAUAACGGUCCUAAGGUAGCGAAAUUCCUUGUCGGGUAAGUUCCGACCCGCACGAAAGGUGUAACGACUUGCGCACUGUCUCAACGAGGGACCCGGUGAAAUUGAAAUACCUGUGAAGAUGCAGGUUACCCGCGACUGGACAGAAAGACCCCAUGGAGCUUUACUGUAACCUGACAUUGGGUUUUGAUACAUUACGUACAGGAUAGGUGGGAGGCAUGGAAAGCUGGACGCUAGUCUGGCUGGAGCCGACGUUGGGAUACCACCCUUGAUGUAUUGAAAUUCUAACCGCGAGAGUAACGAAAUCCGGGACAGUGUCAGGCGGGCAGUUUGACUGGGGCGGUCGCC
Molecule: ribosomal RNA, 1290 nt
Filed under: human gut metagenome
Description: bacterial LSU rRNA
Rfam family: Bacterial large subunit ribosomal RNA
Source: RNAcentral